Molecule: ribosomal RNA, 253 nt
Filed under: uncultured bacterium
Lineage: Bacteria
Description: partial 16S ribosomal RNA
Rfam family: Bacterial small subunit ribosomal RNA
Source: RNAcentral
UACAGAGGUCCCAAGCGUUCUUCGGAUUCAUUGGGCGUAAAGGGUGCGUAGGCGGCGCGGUAAGUCGGGUGUGAAAUCUCGGGGCUUAACUCCGAAACUGCAUUCGAUACUGCCGUGCUUGAGGACUGGAGAGGAGACUGGAAUUUACGGUGUAGCGGUGAAAUGCGUAGAUAUCGUAAGGAAGACCAGUGGCGAAGGCGGGUCUCUGGACAGUUCCUGACGCUGAGGCACGAAGGCCAGGGGAGCAAACAGG